CCAGAGCACAUCUGCAAAAUGUCCACAGAACUUGCUUUUUAUGCUGCAGCAACCCACAAGAAUUGUGUUGCCAACACAGCUGUGUGGACCUGGGAAAAGAGGAGGAAUCAUAUUUCUGUCUGCAAGAACUAUGCCCACAAAACCCUCUAAUGUAGAUUCAGGAAUAGCAGCAAAAAGUCUUUUUCCUGGGAUACACUAUUUCAUUUUGGGAGCUAGUAUAAGCUCAGCUGCCAAACAUUUUGUGUUGAUGACCAUAGGAGUGUUUGCCUGGAUAGCUCAACUGGAGCAGUUACAUCAGCAAAUCCUUUU
Long non-coding RNA from Gavialis gangeticus (Gharial), 309 nucleotides. RefSeq lists it as uncharacterized. Lineage: Eukaryota; Metazoa; Chordata; Crocodylia; Gavialidae. The transcript is spliced from 2 exons. The record is from RefSeq and is a predicted model, not a curated record.